Paramormyrops kingsleyae is the source of this 1311-nucleotide long non-coding RNA. RefSeq lists it as uncharacterized. The record is from RefSeq and is a predicted model, not a curated record. Lineage: Eukaryota; Metazoa; Chordata; Actinopteri; Osteoglossiformes; Mormyridae.
UGAUUAAGAGUCUGCUGGAGCUGAGUGAGGCAGCACACAUGGAUUCAGUUAAAACAUUCCUGUCUCUUUGGCAAGGAAGUUCAUUUCUUCCUCCACAUGAUCCUCCAAAGGUCCUAGGUCAGAAGAGGCACCCCCACAGAGACUGGGAUGGAUUGUUACCAACUUCCUGCCUCCUUGUGAGAAUGACUUGAGGAAGGAGAGAAACAGAUCUCUGUGAAGAAGGAUGACGGGGGAAAUCUCAGAUUUUCAGUGAUGCAUCACCCACACAGCUGCAGCACUCUAAGAAGAAACAUUGCUGCCAACGUCUGUGAUAAAGUGAGAGAGGAAAAACAGAGAAAGAGAGGCUGAUGAAGAAAUACAAGGCCUAACAAGGUUAUAUAUGCCAUCAAGAUUAGAGCUUUCACCAAUGUCAUUCUACGUUGCUGUUCAAGUGUAUUGUUUUUCACGUUACCAUUUAUAUUGAUUUUCAGUUAUACUAGAAGCAUCUCGUCUUUAGUGAUGAGCAGGAGAAAGGAUUCCCUCUAAAGAGCCUGGCUGCAGAAAACGUGAUGAUUUCUGAGCUCUGUGUGCUGCACACUCUCUAUGAGCCAUCACGUUCAGGCAUGGCAUAGUCUAACAUUACAAAACAAUAACUUCAAAUCACCAAACAGCUUCUCCAAUUACAUCUUGUUCCUCUUGUAAUAAUAUUACAGAAAAUGACAUUAUUCUUUAUUAUGGAGGAUGUUUUCAGACAUGUAACGCCACAACCACAAAAUGAUGCUUGAGCACCCUGAAAUUCUUUAGAACUACAGUGCAGUACCUUCAUAUCUCUAUGCAUAAUACAUCUGCAUGAUUACUUAACAAUAGCGCAAAAUGUAAACACUUAUGUCAUAGUGUAUUCUCAGAUAUACAUACACACACAAACAUAUAUGUGUAUAUAUAAUCAUUUGCAUAUACACACACUGUUUACACUGCACACUGUAUAUCUUCUAUACUUGCACUACCUGUGACACCUGUAGCUAUUCCAAUUACUGUUGCAUAGAGAGGAUUAUUCCAGUACCUUUACCUAUAUAUGUGAUUCCUCAUAGGAUGUAUUUCACCAGUACAUGCUGAUUUCUCAUUUAUUUAUUUUAUCUCAAGCUCUUCCUUUUCCUAUACUGAAACUAUGUGUACUGUCUAAUUUAUGUUUGCUGCUGUAAAAUAAUUUCCCAGUCAUGAUCAAUUAAGUACAGCAAUCCAUGUCUGUACAGUAUUUAUUUAAUACUAUGUUGAUUGUUACAUGCUGACUCUGCAGGUGGGUGUCUCAGGCCAAAAACCCCACAACCUGUCUAU